This 41-nucleotide small RNA is filed under the name Vibrio cholerae O1 biovar El Tor str. N16961. Lineage: Bacteria; Pseudomonadati; Pseudomonadota; Gammaproteobacteria; Vibrionales; Vibrionaceae. The record is from RNAcentral.
CAGCCUCGAUAAUCCCUUGACCUCAUUAGGGGAAUGCUUCA